RNAcentral lists this ribosomal RNA (305 nucleotides) under uncultured bacterium. Its description in RNAcentral is "bacterial SSU rRNA". It matches the Rfam family "Bacterial small subunit ribosomal RNA", at positions 335 to 639 of the family's 1533-position model. The record is from RNAcentral.
UCCCUACGGGAGGCAGCAGUGAGGAAUAUUGGUCAAUGGACGCAAGUCUGAACCAGCCAUGCCGCGUGCAGGAAGACGGCUCUAUGAGUUGUAAACUGCUUUUGUACGAGGGUAAAUCCCGAUACGUGUAUCGGGUUGAAAGUAUCGUACGAAUAAGGAUCGGCUAACUCCGUGCCAGCAGCCGCGGUAAUACGGAGGAUUCAAGCGUUAUCCGGAUUUAUUGGGUUUAAAGGGUGCGUAGGCGGAUUUUUAAGUCAGCGGUAAAAUGUCCGGGCUCAACCCGGGCCGGCCGUUGAAACUGGGGA